GUCAGAGAAGACAGUAUUGUGUCAAAAUGGAUGACACUGGAGCUGGAGUUCCAAGAUGUGGAAACUCUACCAGUGUGGCUGCCUACCUGCCCUAAGACCCUAUCCCAUGCCGCCUCUGCUGGACCUGCUGAUGUUCAGCCUGGAUGUCGUCUGUCCUCAGCUGGGGUCCCACCUUCCCAGCCGGGGUCCCUAAUGACCAGAAGCCCUGCAUGUCUCCCUGGAGAAGACUCCUGUGCUCUUGUGCUCCUGCCAGAAUAAAGACUUUGCAGACAUGAAUGGAAGGAGCCCAGGAAGCACUGCAGUGUCGAGUGAUGGACUUAGAACUGUGAGGUCUCCAGUUCUUUCUCCAGCAUCAGAUGUCCCAGAGUCUGUCUGUCUGUCUGUCUGUCUGUCUCUCUCUCUCCCUCCUCUCCCUCCCUCCCUCUCCCUCUCUUUCUCCCUCUCCCCUCCCCUCUCUCCCUCC
Molecule: long non-coding RNA, 463 nt
Organism: Erinaceus europaeus (western European hedgehog)
Lineage: Eukaryota; Metazoa; Chordata; Mammalia; Eulipotyphla; Erinaceidae
Exons: 3
Source: RefSeq, a predicted model, not a curated record